RNAcentral lists this ribosomal RNA (497 nucleotides) under uncultured bacterium. RNAcentral's name for it is "partial 16S ribosomal RNA". It matches the Rfam family "Bacterial small subunit ribosomal RNA", at positions 28 to 507 of the family's 1533-position model. The record is from RNAcentral.
GAUGAACGCUGGCGGCGUGCCUAAUACAUGCAAGUCGAGCGAACAGACGAGGAGCUUGCUCCUCUGACGUUAGCGGCGGACGGGUGAGUAACACGUGGAUAACCUACCUAUAAGACUGGGAUAACUUCGGGAAACCGGAGCUAAUACCGGAUAAUAUAUUGAACCGCAAGGUUCAAUAGUGAAAGACGGUUUUGCUGUCACUUAUAGAUGGAUCCGCGCCGCAUUAGCUAGUUGGUAAGGUAACGGCUUACCAAGGCGACGAUGCGUAGCCGACCUGAGAGGGUGAUCGGCCACACUGGAACUGAGCCACGGUCCAGACUCCUACGGGAGGCAGCAGUAGGGAAUCUUCCGCAAUGGGCGAAAGCCUGACGGAGCAACGCCGCGUGAGUGAUGAAGGUCUUCGGAUCGUAAAACUCUGUUAUUAGGGAAGAACAAAUGUGUAAGUAACUAUGCACGUCUUGACGGUACCUAAUCAGAAAGCCACGGCUAACUACGUG